Molecule: long non-coding RNA, 656 nt
Filed under: Sinocyclocheilus grahami
Lineage: Eukaryota; Metazoa; Chordata; Actinopteri; Cypriniformes; Cyprinidae
Description: lncRNA (ENSSGRG00000049934.1)
Source: RNAcentral
ACAGUAGGCGUUAUAGUCGGCCACUGUUGUUCCCCUAGCGCGUCAUGUUCGUACUGCACCUUCGCCUCACUUCUAAAGGAAGCACUGCCCCUCAGCAAAUCCCAAUGUAUCGAGCGGAUUCUACCACAGGAAAUUCGGUCACUUCAAGUCUCGGACAUACCCAGGGAUUAUAUAUAAAGUAAAUUAGUUGUUCCGUGCUUUCCAUCAGAAUUCAACGAUUCGGUAAAGAAUGAACCCUGCUGGUGUAAAGCCCCCAGGCACACAUCCAGGAUUGAGAGCUCACAGAUUACUCUCAUUGUUCAUCUGCUGAGUAAGCUCCGUCCGAUAAGACUCUAAAAACGUCUGCCUGCCCUUCAUCCUGUCAACAUCAAAAAAAGCCCUCAGCCAUUUGCUGGGGCAAAACAGCGUCGCCAUGGAUACAGAGUCCACCUACUCUGGCUACUCAUACUACUCCGGACGGUCGAGGGGAUCUCACAGACAUGGAGAGCGUAGCCGGGACCGCCACAAAUCCCGCAGUAAGGAGAGCAGUCGCUCGGAGAAGUCUGUCACUAUCAACGCUCCCCCAGCAGAGCCAUUGUUAGGAGACCAGUCAGUGCGAGGAGAAGAGGUUCAGGUGAGAGAGGUUUUCUGUUAUUUAUAGGACUAUAUGGUGUGAA